This 76-nucleotide transfer RNA is filed under the name Methanobrevibacter sp. Its description in RNAcentral is "tRNA-Lys". It matches the Rfam family "tRNA". Rfam says of the family: Transfer RNA (tRNA) molecules are approximately 80 nucleotides in length. Their secondary structure includes four short double-helical elements and three loops (D, anti-codon, and T loops). Further hydrogen bonds mediate the characteristic L-shaped molecular structure. tRNAs have two regions of fundamental functional importance: the anti-codon, which is responsible for specific mRNA codon recognition, and the 3' end, to which the tRNAs corresponding amino acid is attached (by aminoacyl-tRNA synthetases). tRNAs cope with the degeneracy of the genetic code in two manners: having more than one tRNA (with a specific anti-codon) for a particular amino acid; and 'wobble' base-pairing, i.e. permitting non-standard base-pairing at the 3rd anti-codon position. Lineage: Archaea; Methanobacteriati; Methanobacteriota; Methanobacteria; Methanobacteriales; Methanobacteriaceae. The record is from RNAcentral.
GCGUCCGUGGUGUAAUGGUAACACAGCAGACUUUUAAUCUGUCAGAGUCAGGGUUCGACCCCCUGCGGACGCACCA